RNAcentral lists this ribosomal RNA (657 nucleotides) under uncultured Bacteroidales bacterium. RNAcentral describes it as "bacterial SSU rRNA". It matches the Rfam family "Bacterial small subunit ribosomal RNA", at positions 65 to 716 of the family's 1533-position model. The record is from RNAcentral. Lineage: Bacteria; Pseudomonadati; Bacteroidota; Bacteroidia; Bacteroidales.
AACGACGGGGAAGCUUGCUUCCCCGGGCGUCGACCGGCGCACGGGUGAGUAACGCGUAUCCAACCUGCCUCUGACUGAGGGAUAACCCGUCGAAAGUCGGCCUAAUACCUCAUGGUAUCGUCUGCGGGCAUCCAACGACGAUUAAAGAUUUCAUCGGUCAGGGAUGGGGAUGCGUCUGAUUAGCUUGUUGGCGGGGUAACGGCCCACCAAGGCUACGAUCAGUAGGGGUUCUGAGAGGAAGGUCCCCCACAUUGGAACUGAGACACGGUCCAAACUCCUACGGGAGGCAGCAGUGAGGAAUAUUGGUCAAUGGGCGAGAGCCUGAACCAGCCAAGUAGCGUGCAGGAAGACGGCCCUAUGGGUUGUAAACUGCUUUUAUGCGGGGAUAAAGUGAGGGACGUGUCCCUCAUUGCAGGUACCGCAUGAAUAAGGACCGGCUAAUUCCGUGCCAGCAGCCGCGGUAAUACGGAAGGUCCUGGCGUUAUCCGGAUUUAUUGGGUUUAAAGGGAGCGUAGGCCGUGGAUUAAGCGUGUUGUGAAAUGCAGGUGCUCAACGUCUGCACUGCAGCGCGAACUGGUCCACUUGAGUGUGCGCAACGCAGGCGGAAUUCGUCGUGUAGCGGUGAAAUGCUUAGAUAUGACGAAGAACUCCGAUUGC